Stomoxys calcitrans (stable fly) is the source of this 624-nucleotide long non-coding RNA. RefSeq lists it as uncharacterized. The record is from RefSeq and is a predicted model, not a curated record. The transcript is spliced from 2 exons. Lineage: Eukaryota; Metazoa; Arthropoda; Insecta; Diptera; Muscidae.
UCAAAAAUCUUGCUAGCCCCUGGGCUAUUCAAAAACUAAUCACCACACCUAACGUCAUAUUUUUGCUAUCCCUACAACUUUGCUACCAUUCAGAACACAGCCAAACGUGUAAAUUACAAAUAAAACAAUUAAAAUUUAAAAAAGGAACAAAAUGUGAAAAAAAUAAAAUCCAAACCAACCUUCUGACGAUCUAGAAGGAUUUGGAUACAACUCUGGAGUUGGACCAUUCCAUCAGCUGGACAAGGUUAUGUCCAAACACACUAUUAUGUCAAUUGGGUUGGUUAGAUUUUAAAGUUUUUUUUAACUUUUUGUUUUUAUUUUUUCACAUUUUUAAUGUUUAAAUAUAUAAUUUAUACGUUUGUUGUCACAAAUCUUUUAAUUUGUUGGCUCUUACAUGUGUCAAUGUAAAUGAAAACACGUGCGUGAAGUUACCAUCGAUAACUCGCAAGACGGCAGUAAUACAGGGUCACACUAACACAAAAAAAUUCAGCAUGUACGGAAAUUAUCAACCGUUUUUAACUACAGCCGUUAGAAUAUUAAUCUGUGAAUAAACAAUUUCCAUUCUGGAGGACGUAUUGUAAAUGGACUUCGGUCAAUAAACUGCAUACACCAAAUUAAAGCAGA